GCUGUAAAGAAAAGUGAAAAUUCCAAGUCACAAUACCCUUGAUGCCUUGUGGUGUGAUAAAAUAUGAAAUGAGCUAGAUAAUCGUGUAGCAAAGUGGCGGGCACCUCUCCCAUGGUCAUCCCAAAGUAGGACCUUUAAGGCAUCUCUCAUUUGAGAAUGGGUGAGAGGUGUGAAGAAGUGGAGUAAACGAGAGAUGUCCUUCCAUGGGAUUUCGUGCUAUGUGGAGCACUUGCCAACUACAUAUAGUCCAUUGCAAUUGACUCUUGUUAACACUUCUAA
Molecule: long non-coding RNA, 279 nt
Filed under: Carica papaya (papaya)
Lineage: Eukaryota; Viridiplantae; Streptophyta; Magnoliopsida; Brassicales; Caricaceae
Description: long non-coding RNA (CPAP_LNC001682)
Source: RNAcentral